This 468-nucleotide ribosomal RNA is filed under the name uncultured bacterium. Its description in RNAcentral is "partial 16S ribosomal RNA". It matches the Rfam family "Bacterial small subunit ribosomal RNA", at positions 28 to 507 of the family's 1533-position model. The record is from RNAcentral.
GACGAACGCUGGCGGCGUGCUUAACACAUGCAAGUCGAACGGAAAGGCCCUGCUUUUGUGGGGUGCUCGAGUGGCGAACGGGUGAGUAACACGUGAGUAACCUGCCCUUGACUUUGGGAUAACUUCAGGAAAAUGGGGCUAAUACCGGAUAGGAGCUCCUGCUGCAUGGUGGGGGUUGGAAAGUUUCGGCGGUUGGGGAUGGACUCGCGGCUUAUCAGCUGGUUGGUGGGGUAGUGGCUUACCAAGGCUUUGAAGGGUAGCCGGCCUGGGAGGGUGACCGGCCACAUUGGGACUGAGAGACGGCCCAGACUCCUACGGGAGGCAGCAGUGGGGAAUAUGGCACAAUGGGCGGAAGCCUGAUGCAGCAACGCCGCGUGCGGGAUGCCGGCCUUCGGGUUGUAAACCGCUUUCGCCUGUGACGAAGCGUGAUUGACGGUAAUUGGUAAAGAAGCACCGGCUAACUACGUG